AGCAGUCGCCGCGGGAACACGGAGGGUGCAAGCGUUAUCCGGAUUUAUUGGGUUUAAAGGGUCCGUAGGCGGACUUAUAAGUCAGUGGUGAAAGCCUGUCGCUUAACGAUAGAACUGCCAUUGAUACUGUAAGUCUUGAGUAUAUUUGAGGUAGCUGGAAUAAGUAGUGUAGCGGUGAAAUGCAUAGAUAUUACUUAGAACACCAAUUGCGAAGGCAGGUUACCAAGAUAUAACUGACGCUGAGGGACGAAAGCGUGGGUAGCGAACAGGAUUAGAUACCCCAGUAGUCCCUGUCUCUUAUAA
This 303-nucleotide ribosomal RNA is filed under the name uncultured bacterium. Its description in RNAcentral is "partial 16S ribosomal RNA". It matches the Rfam family "Bacterial small subunit ribosomal RNA", at positions 507 to 809 of the family's 1533-position model. The record is from RNAcentral.